AUGGCAGAUAGGAUUGUGAGGCCAGCCUCGACGUGCAAGCCUGUCUGCUGUCCAAUUUCUAUUCUGAAGCAGGAGCCAAGUGUAGAACUUAACCUCCCCCUCUGCCUUUGCCUUCCAAACCACUUCGAGCUGCGGUUGCGGGAUACGGCCGAUGAAUUGAGCUUCAAUGUCUACUCUCUUCUGAUUUUUAACAGGAGUCAGCUGCUCGAAAGGAAGAAGCUUGGGCUGGAGUGGAGAGAACCUUGA
This 246-nucleotide ribosomal RNA is filed under the name Triticum aestivum (bread wheat). RNAcentral's name for it is "partial small subunit ribosomal RNA". The record is from RNAcentral. Lineage: Eukaryota; Viridiplantae; Streptophyta; Magnoliopsida; Poales; Poaceae.